This 1669-nucleotide ribosomal RNA is filed under the name Triticum aestivum (bread wheat). Its description in RNAcentral is "partial small subunit ribosomal RNA". Lineage: Eukaryota; Viridiplantae; Streptophyta; Magnoliopsida; Poales; Poaceae. The record is from RNAcentral.
GCUUGUUUUUCUUUUCUUUUUUCCUUCCCUUUUUAGAGGGCCCCGCGUUCGUUUGCACUGCGGUGCGGAGUGAGGCAGGGAGCAGGAGCAGGAGAAGGAGGAGAGGGGUGAAAGGGGCAAUUAUUAAGCCGUUAGCUAGCGACGGCGGCGGCGCUGACGCUGACUUCGGAGACGAGGCGAGGCGAGACGAGACGAGCGGCGACCUUCUACCUCGGACUGGUCUCACCGUGGCCCGUCUGAAGAGGGGCGCCCUUGCUGACCCUCCAGCACGUCGAGUGGCGAAGUUUGAUGCGAAGACGUGGACCAGGCCGCUCUUGACUUGGAAGGCUGCUCCUCCGACUUCCGGUCCACAUACUGCGUCUCCCCCCACUAAGGCGUCGGCGCAGCGACGAGUACAGACCGGUAAAGAGCCACGGCGUCUCACUCCGACUCUUUGAGGAGUACCUUCGACUAUGAUCGUAUAUAGUCGUCCUCCGCGCGCCGUCGGUCAUACGUCAAAGACUGUUCCCACCUCUACCAUACAUGCUUCUGGUCGUCCUCUUUGACUUCCUGCUGCCAGAACUGUCCUAGGGCAGGAAGCUGUUUCCCUUUUCGGAAAGGGGACAACUAUACCUCGGACUGCUACCCUUGCGUAACGUGUCGCAAUCAGUCCGACCCCUUCUGGGUCAAUGUAAGAGUAGUAGACCAAUGUCACGUUGCCUCCGACUCUUUCUUCAAUGGCUCUCACGGUUCCUCUUCUGACUUCUUUUAUAUUGCGAGGUUUUACAGCUGGGACAGUGACUAAGCAGGUUACAACAACGAAGGCCACUCCUCUCGUUCGGACUGCCAAGACCUCGGGGUGCGUUACACACCACCGUCUUCGUUGAAUAUAGCGAGAUGUCCUCGCGAUUUCUCUCGUUGUUCGAGACCGGAUAGCAACACCGACGACGGCGAAACUACCCCUACCGUAUAAAGGCCGCCGCGACCGUCUUCCCGUUCGACGUCGAAGUCGUCCAGUUUAACGUUGGACGGUCGUCGUUCCUCUCUUAGUUGGUCCGGUGGCAUGGCGAAUUGGCUUAGUUCCUGUAAGAACAGCGACCGUUGGUGGGCUCAGGCCGAUGAGUACCUUUACGAGCUAACCCGACUACUACUAUUGGUAGGGCGGCUGCCUACUACAUAGGACUUUGAUCACAUACGUUACCUCUUUAUGGGCUACGGCGUCUUGCAUACCUGCAAAUACGCACGACCGACACAUUAAUUUGGGGUUUUGAGGAGGACCACCGUGCAGAGACGUCACCGUGCAGAGAUGGCCAACUCCCGCGUUCCGCACAACUUGAUCACCUGUAGCCCCGGCGGUCAACUCCCGCGUUCCGCACAACUUGAUCACCUGUAACCCCGGCGGCUAACUCCCGCGUUCCGCACAACUUGAUCACCUGUAGCCCCGGCGGUCAACUCCCGCGUUCCGCACAACUUGAUCUGUAACCCCGGCGGCUAACUCCCGCGUUCCGCACAACUUGAUCACCUGUAGCCCCGCCGCCGCGGCGGGGGCUCUCGAAACGUUGAAGCUGCCGUACCUGGAGUACGGCGCACCCAACGUUGAUGAUGUACGUACACCUUACGAAUAGAGAAGUAGCGGCGCCCUCUCACGGAGUACUAAAGAAAGCCUGUACCUUCUCGCUGAACAAGCCAC